GAUAGGAAUGUUUUACUACUCAUCAGAGCAGAUUUCUCCGUCUGAGGGAAGUUGGCAGGAUUCCACAUUUGUAUUCUCCAGGGUCAAGGCUCCUCCUCUCCCUGAAUAUCUUUGUUAAGGGAUCAAGGGGAAAGUGAGAAUGUGGGGGAGGUAUUAGGAGAAAGGGAGGUGAAGGCCUCCUCUCUCAAACUUAAAAGGAUUUUUGGAAAACACCACAUACAAGUUCACUUUAAACCCACCAACACAGAGAGACUCGUCCACCCUAAAGGCCAGGCACCAAAACCAAAAAGAGGUGUAAUGUAAUUUAAGUGGUCCAGUGUAACGAAGAGUGCUCAGAGCUCAUUAGAGCACUACAUUGGAGAGACUGAACAACAACUACAUAGGAGGAUGUACCAACACAGAAGAAGCAACACCUCAGGACCAGAAUCAGCUGUGUACCUGAAUCUGAAGGACAAAGGACACAAAUUUGAGGACGAAAAGGUACAUAUCUUGGACAGAAAAGACAGAUAGUUUGAGAGAGGAGUGAAAGAGGCCAUCUAUGUCCAAGUGGAAAAUCUUUCUCUUGAAGUGGAAGUCUUUGGCACAACCUGUCUCCUAUUUUUUAUGCAGCUCUUUCAUCUGUCCUCAAGAAAAUCAAGACUUCUUCACACACCCACCAGGAAAGCCACACCUAAGGACUCCCCCCUCACAUUCGCUGAUUGUUACCCCUAAUACUUCAAUACACUCUCCCUUUACUCUCCUUCUCUAGGGUCAUUACUUCCUAAUGACUCCUCUUACUCCUAACACCUUCUCACCUUCCCCUUGUUCCCUUAACAAGGCAGGGAAGGGAGGAUCCUUGACCCUGAAGGAUACAAAUUCGUGGAAUCCGGCCAACUUCCCUCAGAUGAGUAGUGAAACCUUUUGAUCUGACUUGAACAAAGUCCAGUAGACAUGACUCAAAUUCCACAUAACCAUAUCGGAAUGACUGAGAAUCUUCACAGACUCAUUUCAUUUAAGGUUAUUGUGUUUAAUUUCAUGUCUGGACAGUGAUCUUGGAACACGAUCUAAAAUUAUUGCACAUGACAUUUAUUUAAAAAAUGUAAAGAGUGAGUAAGGUAGGUUACAUAGUAAAUGGCCUUUAUCUUUUAUCAGUAAAUGAAGAGUCACCCCAGCAGUUGAUAUCUGCCUCCUAAUUCCACUGAAAAAAUGCAAUGUGGAGCACACCAGUUACAUUUUAACUCUUUUAACCAGUACAACUUUCUGGCUGUGAGUCUGAUAUAAAAUGAACACAUUGGAGCUCUUCUGUGGGUGCUUUCACUCUGAUUUGGAUUUUUGGCUUCGACUUUAAGAGAUAAAUGAUCGCAUGGCAUCAAAAGCACAUCCCCUGUAAUUCGGAGUACAACAACAUGCACUUGUUCCUCCCAAUAUUUCAGAAGUUUACCUGGUCUUUCCUUCGGGGUCAGGUUCCCCACGAGGACUCAGCUUCCUGCUCCAAGGGGUUUUGCUGAUGCUAUACAGAUCUCUGCGCAUGUUGGUAGGCUCUGACAAGCUACAGCAAAGGACCGUGGUAUAUCUGAUGGAGACUGGCUUCUUCCGUCUGUAUCAUGGCUUCUUUGGAAUUUUACAAAAACUACUCUGUGUACUCUGGUAUACUUUUUUAUGAGACUGUUGUAAUAACUGUAAGUGUUGAGACUGCUGGAUAAUGCAUCAGAAUAAAUGUUUUUCUUUUCUGGGUACCAGAUAGUGAAGUUAAAAUCAACAAGCCCACAGUUCUUGAUUUGAUGCAUCUGUGUGCAGUACAAAUGAUUUUGUAAAGUUUGGGGACCCCAGCACUGGUGGAUUGGUGGGACAAUCCAGUGUUUUGCUUCGUCCACUUAGUCAACUGACUAAGUGGAACUACAUGACUUUUUUAGGUAAGUAUCUUUUUUCCCUCUACCUCUUGUUUGUGGUUUUAUAUUAUUACUACCAUUCUUCAGCAAGGCAUAUAGGGGGCAGAAGUUCUUGGUGUAAGAGCGAUAGUAACUCAACUUCUAGAUCUUCCUUGGCUCACCUACUGUGGUGGGUCUCUUGUCCUUCAGUGCUGUCACUGCUAUGGUGUGUGAAGGAUCCAUAUGGUUACUUUCUUUAGAAACUAUCCUUCCCAAGUAGCGGGCCGCUUCCUUAAACAAUUCACAUUUCUUUGGCUUCAGUUUCACUCCUUGUUUCACUCCGGGGGAUGUGGUAGCUUAGUGGUUAAGGUGUUGGACUUCUGAUUGGAAAGUUGUGGUAGGUUGUGAGUGUGAAUCAAGACCCUUAACCCUCAGUUGUGUAAAAUGUGUUAAAAAUUUAAGUCGCUCUGGAUAAGGGUCUCUGCUAAAUGCUGUAAAAGUAAAUGUGACUGCAAGCAUUGUAAAAUUGUCUUUAUUGGUUCAAAUUGCUCAUCAAAGGAUUUUGUGAAGACUAAUAUGUCAUCCAGGUAAGGUACACAAAUGUCAUCUCGUAGUCUUUCCAAGCAUCCAUCCAUGAAUUCCAGGAAUGUGGCAGGUGCAUUCAUGAACCCAAAGGGGAUACGAAUCCAUUCAUAUAAGCCCUAUAUCCUAUUCAUUUAGUAUAUGGUGUACUAAAGGCUGUCAAUGGUCUGCUUUCUGGUGUCAUAAAACUUUGAUGGAACAUCUUCCCUUGGUCUAGCACAGAGAACCUGGUAACACUGAUUUUACUGUUUGUUUUGUCCCAUGUUCAGUUUUUCCCACCAGCACAAUGCCAUUGUCACUUUGUCAUGCCAUUUUGGACACAGAUCUGAAUCACAGGUCAGCUCCCUUUUUUCAGAGUCAAGAGUGUUUCCCGGGAUUCCAGACCAUCAGGGUACUGUGGUACUGGUUUAAACACUAUCCUGAUUCAGAUACAGAUGAUGGCUAGCACCAGAUAAACUGAUUACUUUUUGCUAUUUAUCCAAAGAUCGUCAAACAUAUUUGAGGUGUACAAAUUAGUAACAGGAAGAGCUAAUCAUCUUAGGGCAGUGGAUACUCCCAUGUCAGUGAUUGCUGUUCCUCUUCUUGCUCUUUUGUAUGUUUGAUACACUGUAUUCUGUCACUACAUGCAUUUUAGAGUACAUGUUUCGUGACACAUAGUGCUAAUAAUUAAGUGAUGAAUAAACUUCUUGAUUUAAAUGUACCUCAUGUUUCCAUACUUCAUGCAAUUUCAUUUGGUACCUCAUAUAUCAAAUGUGUUUGUAUAUAUUAUAUUGGCAAUUUCUCAAAUGUUUGAUGAUUUUGUUUCUCUUUCUUGAGAAAUCAGACAAUAUUAUAUGAAAUGUAAUAGUGUUCUGCCUCCCAGUUAUACUACCCCAAGAGGCCACACCCACCCCACUAUGAACCCCAAGGAGAUCAGGAAAUUCUGAGAGCACAUAUCUCACAUUCAUUCUUAACCCUUACAUGCACACACACACACACACACAAACAUACACACACAAACAUGGAAAACGACUUUAAGAUGGAAGAAGACGUGACUGUGCCUCCCGCUGUAUCCAGGGAACGCACAUACCUGGCUUGGUCCAUCUUUAACACAAUAUUCUGCUGUACUUCUAUUGGAAUCAUCACAAUUGUGUUCUCCUUGCAGGUAAGUCAUUCAAUAUCAUUAUUUCAGAACAGUAAAAGGAAGGAAAUUAACAUAACCUUUUCCAUUAUAGACUGAGACGGCUAAUCUCAUUGGAAAUUCUGCAAGAGCUAAAGCGCGUUCCAGGCUGGUCAAGAAACUGAACAUCGCCUCGUCUGUCAUUGGAAUUGUUUUUAUCAUCCUUGUUAUCAUCAUUGUUGUGAAAAUGCCUCAAUUCUUUAAACCAUUUUUGCCAUUAGACCAACUGAAACGACCCCAUUAAGGUCACGAAAGUGUUCUUGUAAUUGAAAUCACUCUACAUGCUUGUCUAUAAUCUCACAGGUUUUUGCUAUUUUUAUUCCAUUUUAUUCCAUUUUUUCCACUUUUUUUUAUUGUAUUAAGUUAAAUCUCAUAAUCAUUCAACCACUGUUACUAUAUUAUUAUUUCUGUAUGUGAAUAUUUUGUUAUUCUUUUUUUUUUCUUUAAAUACAUUGUUUAUAUAAAUGAAUACAUAAUAUUCCAAAUAAAUUUUGUUUGUAUGUA
Long non-coding RNA from Hemibagrus wyckioides, 4092 nucleotides. RefSeq lists it as uncharacterized. The record is from RefSeq and is a predicted model, not a curated record. Lineage: Eukaryota; Metazoa; Chordata; Actinopteri; Siluriformes; Bagridae. The transcript is spliced from 3 exons.